AGAAUCAACGCUGGCGGCGUGCCUAACACAUGCAAGUCGAACGAGAAAGUGGAGCAAUCCAUUAGUAAAGUGGCGCACGGGUGAGUAACACGUGACUAACCUACCCUUGAGUGGGGGAUAACCUAGAGAAAUCUGGGCUAAUACCGCAUAAUACCUUCGGGUCAAAGGAGCAAUUCGCUUAAGGAGGGGGUCGCGGCAGAUUAGUUAGUUGGCGGGGUAAUGGCCCACCAAGACUAUGAUCGGUAUCCGGCCUGAGAGGGCGCACGGACACACUGGAACUGAAACACGGUCCAGACUCCUACGGGAGGCAGCAGUGGGGAAUUUGCGCAAUGGGGGAAACCCUGACGCAGCAACGCCGCGUGGAGGAUGAAGCCCCGUUGGGGCGUAAACUCCUUUCGAUCGGGACGAUAAUGACGGUACCGAGAGAAGAGCCCGGCUAACUUCGCGCCAGCAGCCGC
This 458-nucleotide ribosomal RNA is filed under the name uncultured bacterium. RNAcentral's name for it is "SSU rRNA". It matches the Rfam family "Bacterial small subunit ribosomal RNA", at positions 26 to 518 of the family's 1533-position model. The record is from RNAcentral.